Molecule: ribosomal RNA, 496 nt
Filed under: uncultured bacterium
Lineage: Bacteria
Description: partial 16S ribosomal RNA
Rfam family: Bacterial small subunit ribosomal RNA
Source: RNAcentral
GAUGAACGCUGGCGGCGUGCCUAAUACAUGCAAGUCGAGCGAACAGAUGAGGAGCUUGCUCCUCUGACGUUAGCGGCGGACGGGUGAGUAACACGUGGAUAACCUACCUAUAAGACUGGGAUAACUUCGGGAAACCGGAGCUAAUACCGGAUAAUAUAUUGAACCGCAUGGUUCAAUAGUGAAAGACGGUUUUGCUGUCACUUAUGGAUGGAUCCGCGCCGCAUUAGCUAGUUGGUAAGGUAACGGCUUACCAAGGCAACGAUGCGUAGCCGACCUGAGAGGGUGAUCGGCCACACUGGAACUGAGACACGGUCCAGACUCCUACGGGAGGCAGCAGUAGGGAAUCUUCCGCAGUGGGCGAAAGCCUGACGGAGCAACGCCGCGUGAGUGAUGAAGGUCUUCGGAUCGUAAAACUCUGUUAUUAGGGAAGAACAAAUGUGUAAGUAACUAUGCACGUCUUGACGGUACCUAAUCAGAAAGCCACGGCUAACUACGU